This is a long non-coding RNA of Etheostoma cragini (Arkansas darter), 85 nucleotides long. RefSeq lists it as uncharacterized. The transcript is spliced from 3 exons. The record is from RefSeq and is a predicted model, not a curated record. NCBI's taxonomy places the organism in Eukaryota, Metazoa, Chordata, Actinopteri, Perciformes, Percidae.
UUGAGAUAAAAACCAUGUACAAAUUACAUCAAGUUAUUAAUGAGACCAAUGUCAACGGGUACAAAUAAGCUCUUCCAUCUCUUGG